RNAcentral lists this ribosomal RNA (500 nucleotides) under uncultured bacterium. RNAcentral describes it as "partial 16S ribosomal RNA". It matches the Rfam family "Bacterial small subunit ribosomal RNA", at positions 30 to 523 of the family's 1533-position model. The record is from RNAcentral.
AUUGAACGCUGGCGGCAUGCCUUACACAUGCAAGUCGAACGGAUCAGAAGAGCUUGCUCUUCUGGUUAGUGGCGAACGGGUGAGUAAUGCAUCGGAACGUACCCAGUAGUGGGGGAUAACGUAGCGAAAGUUACGCUAAUACCGCAUACGACCUGAGGGUGAAAGCAGGGGAUCGCAAGACCUUGCGCUAUUGGAGCGGCCGAUGUCGGAUUAGCUAGUUGGUAGGGUAAAAGCCUACCAAGGCGACGAUCCGUAGCUGGUCUGAGAGGACGACCAGCCACACUGGGACUGAGACACGGCCCAGACUCCUACGGGAGGCAGCAGUGGGGAAUUUUGGACAAUGGGGGAAACCCUGAUCCAGCCAUGCCGCGUGAGUGAAGAAGGCCUUCGGGUUGUAAAGCUCUUUCAGACGGAAAGAAAUCUUCCGGGCUAAUACCUCGGGAGGAUGACGGUACCGUAAGAAUAAGCACCGGCUAACUACGUGCCAGCCGCCGCCGUAA